AGGUAGCAUAAUCAUUUGUUAUCUAAAUGAUAACUAGUAUGAAGGGUCUGACGAGAAAAUAACUUUCUAAAAAGAAAUAAUAAAAAUUUAUCUUAAAGUAAAAAAGCUUUAAAAACUUAGAAAGACGAGAAGACCCUAGAACCUGUCUAUCUGCAUAGUUUGUUGGGGUGACAUUAUUUUAAAACAAAUAACUAUUUUAACUCAUUAAGAGACUUAACCUAUCUUUUUUAAAAAAAAAAAAGGUACUCUAGGGAUAACAGCAUAAUCUUCUUUUAGAGCCCUAAUCGACAAGAAAGAUUUUGACCUCGAUGUUGAAUUGAUAUUCCUUCUUAAAGCAGAAUU
Molecule: ribosomal RNA, 342 nt
Filed under: Armadillo officinalis (oak-woodland pillbug)
Lineage: Eukaryota; Metazoa; Arthropoda; Malacostraca; Isopoda; Armadillidae
Description: partial large subunit ribosomal RNA
Rfam family: Bacterial large subunit ribosomal RNA
Source: RNAcentral